AACGCUAGCUACAGGCUUAACACAUGCAAGUCGAGGGGAAACGAUAGAGAAAGCUUGCUUUUUCUAGGCGUCGACUGGCGCACGGGUGAGUAACGCGUAUCCAACCUGCCCACCACUUGGGGAUAACCUUGCGAAAGUAAGACUAAUACCCAAUGAUAUCUCUAGAAGACAUCUGAAAGGGAUUAAAGAUUUAUCGGUGAUGGAUGGGGAUGCGUCUGAUUAGUUUGUUGGCGGGGUAACGGCCCACCAAGGCGACGAUCAGUAGGGGUUCUGAGAGGAAGGUCCCCCACAUUGGAACUGAGACACGGUCCAAACUCCUACGGGAGGCAGCAGUGAGGAAUAUUGGUCAAUGGGCGAGAGCCUGAACCAGCCAAGUAGCGUGCAGGAUGACGGCCCUAUGGGUUGUAAACUGCUUUUAUAAGGGAAUAAAGUGAGUCUCGUGAGGCUUUUUGCAUGUACCUUAUGAAUAAGGACCGGCUAAUUCCGUGCCAGCAGCCGCGGUAAUACGGAAGGUCCGGGCGUUAUCCGGAUUUAUUGGGUUUAAAGGGAGCGUAGGCCGGAGAUUAAGCGUGUUGUGAAAUGUAGACGCUCAACGUCUGCACUGCAGCGCGAACUGGUUUCCUUGAGUACGCACAAAGUGGGCGGAAUUCGUGGUGUAGCGGUGAAAUGCUUAGAUAUCACGAAGAACUCCGAUUGCGAAGGCAGCUCACUGGAGCGCAACUGACGCUGAAGCUCGAAAGUGCGGGUAUCGAACAGGAUUAGAUACCCUGGUAGUCCGCACGGUAAACGAUGGAUGCCCGCUGUUGGUCUGAAUAGGUCAGCGGCC
Molecule: ribosomal RNA, 826 nt
Filed under: uncultured bacterium
Lineage: Bacteria
Description: bacterial SSU rRNA
Rfam family: Bacterial small subunit ribosomal RNA
Source: RNAcentral